GACAUAUGAGGGCUACCAAGUGGAUUAACCAGCUGAUGAAUGUCAAAACAGCCCCAUUUUACCACUGUGGUCUAGACCAUAUCCUCAAAGUGGCAGAAGUUAAUGACCUCAGUGUUGCAAUAUUAUGUGUACAUCUGGCUUCAACAUAUUUUUAUGUGUAACUCAUCAGCAGCGUGCGCAAAGUGUAUUUUAGUGUAUGUACAUUCGAAUGACAGCAAGGCUUGCCAGCAGAGGCAAUAGACAAACCAAUGUAGCUGGCAAAAACUGGCAGGUUGUUGGCAGUGCUGGCGUGUUCAGGUGUGAAGGAGAUGUAACAAACCUUCAGAUGAGUGCGGGCUGAAAACAAUUGACUUCAGCCCUAAUUUAAGCAUGUUACUCAGUUAAGCUAAGAGGAGAAAACAGCUGACAAGUGUAGCAGGUCAGCAAGCUAUGGACAGCCCAAAUGAUGUACCGGCAACAUGUACUAUUUUCUCACAGGGCUGACACUGUUUCGUUCUUCUAGAAAAUGAUAUUGUGUGAGUACCUCACUGUCAGCAGGAUAGCAAGAUUUUUGGCUCUCUCAGUAGCAGAGCUUUCCAGUGUGACUAAUUGUGUAUUUUUUUUUCAAUACAGGCUCUGAAUGCAGAAAGCCAAUGAGAAAGUAAAUCAACAUGAUUAAUUUAAAGGCAGUCCCUUCCCUUUAAGGCGUAUGGCUUGAUAAACAACAGCCCGGUUCAUCGGCACAGGAGUGAAGAACUGCAUGCGGAAAAGGAACGGGGCAGCCCUCCUACCAUAGCUGUGUCCAGAGCUGGCUGUCGCUUCUCCAAACGGAUGAUGGCACCUGAGCCGGUUUGGAAUCUGCAGUCCUCACAAGCUCAGCCAAGUUUUGUAAGCUGAAGAUCUCCAUUUAUCUUUAUUGUGUCAAUUGCUGACAGUGUUUCAAUACGGUGGUAAAAAUCAAAGAGCUGAUGUCCAUCCACAAAUAUUCUAAAACGGGGAUGCUCGCAAAGUAUCUCAACCUGUGAAAAUUAAAAUGAAGCACGUUGUUCACUGUG
Molecule: long non-coding RNA, 1034 nt
Organism: Strigops habroptila (Kakapo)
Lineage: Eukaryota; Metazoa; Chordata; Aves; Psittaciformes; Psittacidae
Exons: 2
Source: RefSeq, a predicted model, not a curated record